This 467-nucleotide ribosomal RNA is filed under the name uncultured bacterium. Its description in RNAcentral is "partial 16S ribosomal RNA". It matches the Rfam family "Bacterial small subunit ribosomal RNA", at positions 28 to 506 of the family's 1533-position model. The record is from RNAcentral.
GACGAACGCUGGCGGCGUGCUUAACACAUGCAAGUCGAACGGAAAGGCCCUGCUUUUGUGGGGUGCUCGAGUGGCGAACGGGUGAGUAACACGUGAGUAACCUGCCCUUGACUUUGGGAUAACUUCAGGAAACUGGGGCUAAUACCGGAUAGGAGCUCCUGCUGCAUGGUGGGGGUUGGAAAGUUUCGGCGGUUGGGGAUGGACUCGCGGCUUAUCAGCUUGUUGGUGGGGUAGUGGCUUACCAAGGCUUUGACGGGUAGCCGGCCUGAGAGGGUGACCGGCCAAAUUGGGACUGGGAUACGGCCCAGACCCCUACGGGGGGAAGGAGGGGGGAAUAUUGCAAAAUGGGCGGAAGCCUGAUGCAGCAACGCCGGGUGCGGGAUGGCGGCUUUCGGGUUGAAAACCGCUUUCGCCUGUGACGAAGGGGGAGUGACGGUAAUGGGUAAAGAAGCACCGGCUAACUACGU